GGACCACCAUCCAGGCACCGGUACACAGUCGCGCGGGUACCGCCGACCGUGGCGAAGACGCUGAAGCAGCGGGAGUCGAGGAAGUUGAAGGCUAUGGCGUAGAGGGGACGCUUGCCCUCGUGGAGGCGGUUGCUUAACUUGUACUCCCGCUUCUUCGACGGGGUCAGUGAACCCACCACCGGCUCGCAGCCCAGCCCGACCUUCGCC
This 207-nucleotide unclassified non-coding RNA is filed under the name Hevea brasiliensis (rubber tree). The record is from RNAcentral. Lineage: Eukaryota; Viridiplantae; Streptophyta; Magnoliopsida; Malpighiales; Euphorbiaceae.